This 69-nucleotide transfer RNA is filed under the name Dermophis mexicanus (Mexican burrowing caecilian). RNAcentral describes it as "tRNA-Leu". It matches the Rfam family "tRNA". From Rfam's summary of the family: Transfer RNA (tRNA) molecules are approximately 80 nucleotides in length. The record is from RNAcentral. Lineage: Eukaryota; Metazoa; Chordata; Amphibia; Gymnophiona; Dermophiidae.
UUUAUAAAGGAUAAAAGCAAUCCAUUGACCUUAGACGUCAAUAAUCCUGGUGCAACCCCAUGUAUAAGU